Long non-coding RNA from Mauremys reevesii (Reeves's turtle), 2107 nucleotides. RefSeq lists it as uncharacterized. NCBI's taxonomy places the organism in Eukaryota, Metazoa, Chordata, Testudines, Geoemydidae. The record is from RefSeq and is a predicted model, not a curated record. The transcript has 3 exons.
CCCUCAUGCAAUGGAAAAUGAGUGAGAGCAGCGAGCCUGUGAGCAUUGUUCAUGCCAGGCAAGAGCCGUUCAUUUGGGAGCCAAGCAGAUGCCACUGUCAGUGAGAUAAGUGUCUGUUUUGCUGAGGGUUCUGUUAACAGCCCAUCUGACUCCAGCAGUGUGUCCUCCGCAGGAGAAGGUUGGAUCCAGGAGGAUGACUCCAGAUGUUUGCAGAGGAAUCGUCCAGGAGCCCUCGCCGGAGGAGAAUAUGCAGUAGUGGAUCUGAGAAGCCUGGACAUCCUUCUAAGGAGACAUGAAUAGUCCUCGGGUUUCUGCAUAACUGGCUGUUCCUCAUCUGUACUUGCUGUAGUUGUCUUCACAGGCCGUGUGCUUCCUCCUUGGGUACGGGGCUCUGUGGCUGGAGAGGGCCCAGAAUCUGCUCUGCGGAGUGACUAUGUUGGGUGCCAUUAUGAGGGCCAAUGUAGACAGGAGAAAAGGGGCCUGAACCCUGAUUACAGGGCGGUCACCCUUUCUUUAGUAAAAUACGCCUCCUUUAAACUCGGUGUGUGCAGGGGGCGGGGGGAAGUCCCCAAUGUGAAAAGAUCUGGAAAUGAACAGGUAAGGGAGGGAUCCUGCUGAGUGUCUCCUUUCCGAUCAUCCUCCAUCUCUCAGCGACACCCUUCCGGACUUACCUUCCUACCUCACCAAGAAAAUAACUUUGUGCUCCCUAACCUUUACCAGAAAAGACCCCUCUUCCUUGUGACGCAGUCCUGUUAGUAGGGUUAGGUGCACCCACGUGCUGGCUCUGAAUACCACCGCAUGUGCUUACAACACCUGAACAUCAACACAUUUCAGAAAGGAUAGCCACAUCAAUCCCUUCGGACGUAGCCCUAGGAAUCUCCUCUAUCUCCAAAGAGACACAAGGCCUGGAAUUUGGACACAGCUGAGGGAGCUGUCCGAAUGUCUACAGUUGAACACUCAUCAGUGCGACGGUGUCUUUCUUGUGCACAAGAAAACACAGGGUCAAAGUUGUGGUUGGUUGAGCGGUGUAAAUUGGGCAGGGCAAAAGGACUUGAGGAAGGAUGAGAUGGAAGUGAGGGUCUGAAAGGAGCCCCCCACCUCACCUGUUCAUUUCCAGACUGUGUGACAUUUGCAUGGUUGGGCCAUUUCUUGGCUUUUUUGAGAAAAGGGGCGAAUUUUCCACGGCCUCCACCAUCCCCUUACAGCUGCCCCUUCGCCACACCAUGUUGCAUCUGACCUGGAUAGGUCGCAAGUAAGAUUUCACUUCAAAUCUCAAAAAAGUCCAGUAGAAAUAAUUGUGGGGGAAUUUCCUGUCACUAAGAGAAACGGAAGCUCUAGCCUUCUCAAGCGGUGGGGUGUCACUCAGCCACAGGCACAAAAAGGCUCCCCUAGUUUAGGCGUGCGAGGGAUAAGACCUUACACCCUGGUUACAGGGCAGUCAUUUUGCUGGGCGUGUCAAAGUGACCUGUGGUUUAAUUUGCUUGGCAAAGGAGACCCAAACCUUCCUUUCAGGGUGGUCCUUAGGAGAGCGUGGUCUCAUUGCCCAGCAAGUGCCAGCGGCCCAAGAGGAGCUAGAAAGGGGAGACCUGCACCCUUCUCACAGGGAUUGGUCAGUGGCAAAGAGCAUUUUAAAGGCUAGGUCCUAAGGAGCUCAAAGCCACAGAGACCUUGUGGUGAUCUGCGUGUAAUGUAAUAUCUCAUUGUAAGGUGACGAGGCCAGCAAGAGUUAGUUAACUCACAAACUGACCUUGACCCAUGGCCAAACUUUAAAGACUGGUUAGGAAGAUAUGUAAAGGAAUAGAGGUUUGAAAUGCAGCCUGCAUUGUUAGAGAUUUACCCUUCUAUGUUAGCUCAGGUCUUGUCUCUUUCUAUAGCUGUGAUUCAAAGAUCAAAAAAGCAAUAUUAACAUUUAGGAAGACACUGGAGUGAGAUAACGUUAUUGUCUACAUCGGGGGUCGGCAACCUUUCACAAGUGGUGUGCCGAGUCUUCAUUUAUUCACUCUAAAAUGUAUUACUGGCACGCGAAACGUGAAGGUCUCUUUAGUUCUGUAAUAUAUAGACAUAGAAACUAGUGUUGUAUGGUAAAAUAAACAAGGUUUUCAAUAUG